This 422-nucleotide ribosomal RNA is filed under the name uncultured bacterium. RNAcentral's name for it is "bacterial SSU rRNA". It matches the Rfam family "Bacterial small subunit ribosomal RNA", at positions 358 to 773 of the family's 1533-position model. The record is from RNAcentral.
GGAAUCUUGCCCAAUGGACGAAAGUCUGAGGCAGCGACGCCGCGUGGGGGAAGAAGGCCUUCGGGCUGUAAACCUCUUUCAGCAGGGACGAAGCCACUCGGGUUAAUAGCCCAGAGGGUGACGGUACCUGCAGAAGAAGCCCCGGCUAACUACGUGCCAGCAGCCGCGGUAAUACGUAGGGGGCAAGCGUUGUCCGGAUUUAUUGGGCGUAAAGAGCGUGUAGGCGGCCGCACAGGUCCGUUGUGAAAACUGGAGGCUUAACCUUCAGACGUCGAUGGAAACCGUGCGGCUAGAGUCCGGAAGAGGAGAAUGAAAUUCCUGGUGUAGCGGUGAAAUGCGCAGAUAUCAGGAAGAACACCCGUGGCUAAGGCGGUUCUCUAGUACGGUACUGACGCUGAGACGCGAAAGCGUGGGGAGCGAAC